GGAGUUGUGUAAAAGGGGCUGAAGUCCUGCGCUGCGUCCUCCACUGCUGCUGCUGCUGUUGAAAAGUAGGCUCACCACCAGAUAUAUAAAUGCUGCCAAACCGUUUGAUAUCGUGGACGUAAAACAAACAAUCAGGCAACGACACACCCCGGUGAGGGUCCAGGACUCCGGCCGAGUGGUGGGCGAGGCAGCUUGAACUCCUCUGGACCGUUCAGACGCGUUGGCCGCGCAGGAGCGACCCGGCCGGUGGUCAAGGAAUGACUGCACCUAAAGCAAACGAAAGGAAGAAGUAGGAGGAGGAGUCACCAUUUGUGCCUUUAAAGUGGGGGCUGUCCUUCACUCCAGGCUGUCUGGUUCGAACUCUCACGCUCGCUGGCUGACUCCCAGCACUCUCUCACCCUUGGACCCCAGAUGGCUGACACACAGCAGUUCUUCACUGGCAAGCUUUAUGUUCCUGUACACAUGCUAAAGCUGCCAGCUGAAGAACUGCUCUGGUCAGCCCUGCCCCGGAUGACUCUAGAAGAGGAAGGGGGUGGGGGUGGGGUUGGAAGAGGACUGAGGAAGGCGGUGUUUCACACGCUCGGUAGUCGGCCUGGACUUCUGCAAGAUUUGAGCCACCGUUGUUUAUAUUCUGUUGUUAAUCACAUGUAAGGUAUAUUUCAAUGUAAGCAUGUUUAUUUCCUCACAAAAAAUACUUAAAUGUUGUCUGUGAUGCGUCUUUUCUUUCUUCUUACAAUAAAGAACAAAAUAGUU
Molecule: long non-coding RNA, 753 nt
Organism: Micropterus dolomieu (smallmouth bass)
Lineage: Eukaryota; Metazoa; Chordata; Actinopteri; Centrarchiformes; Centrarchidae
Exons: 2
Source: RefSeq, a predicted model, not a curated record